RNAcentral lists this ribosomal RNA (253 nucleotides) under uncultured bacterium. RNAcentral describes it as "partial 16S ribosomal RNA". It matches the Rfam family "Bacterial small subunit ribosomal RNA", at positions 524 to 776 of the family's 1533-position model. The record is from RNAcentral.
UACGGGGGGGGCAAGCGUUGUUCGGAAUUACUGGGCGUAAAGGGCUCGUAGGUGGCCAACUAAGUCAGACGUGAAAUCCCUCGGUUUAACCGGGGAACUGCAUCUGAUACUGGAUGGCUUGAGUUUGGGAGAGGGAUGCGGAAUUCCAGGUGUAGCGGUGAAAUGCGUAGAUAUCUGGAGGAACACCGGUGGCGAAGGCGGCAUCCUGGACCGACAUUGACGCUGAAAGCCGAAAGCUAGGGGAGCAAACGGG